GUUAUAUAUAUAUAUACAGAUACAUGCAUCAUUCUCUUGACUUGCAAGGAAAUAAUGCAUCUAUUAUAAAUCUACAAAAUUUACGAUUUAAAUUUAAAGGUUAAUUUAAAGAAAUAUUUUUGUCGUCUCUAAUAAGUACGCGUGUAACGAGAUUUAUGUAUUAAAAGUUUAAUUAUGAAAAACAA
This is a long non-coding RNA of Wasmannia auropunctata (little fire ant), 185 nucleotides long. RefSeq lists it as uncharacterized. The record is from RefSeq and is a predicted model, not a curated record. The transcript has 2 exons. Lineage: Eukaryota; Metazoa; Arthropoda; Insecta; Hymenoptera; Formicidae.